Long non-coding RNA from Actinia tenebrosa (Australian red waratah sea anemone), 450 nucleotides. RefSeq lists it as uncharacterized. The record is from RefSeq and is a predicted model, not a curated record. NCBI's taxonomy places the organism in Eukaryota, Metazoa, Cnidaria, Anthozoa, Actiniaria, Actiniidae.
GUUCAAUCUAUCACUAGACGUCGCGUCGUCCGUUCAAACUGCUUGCGAUAGAAAACCCACAGCCGAAUUUUGAUCGUCCAAGAUGAACAACUUUGUAAAGAUUGCCCUCUUCGUUGGCCUCGCCCUGAUGUUAACGUUCCCGGAUGCGCAGGCGCGUCGUCCACAUCAAAGUAAUCACCAUUGCAUCGGCAAUUGUGGAAAUCAAGCCAUCAGAAGCUGCCGCUAUUGCGAAGAAAUACUUCGUACGACUAGAGCUUGCGAUGAAAAAUGCAGAUAUCCAUUUUUUACGAGGUGCGUUUUGAGCAACUGCAUUUGAGGGACCUGUGUUUGUAAARGCAUUUUUCGCAAAUGUAUUCCAUAACAGUGUUAUCACGCAGGCGUUAAAGAGUCAUGACGUUUAUAGUCAAAGUAACUGCAAAAUAUUAAAGAACAGAACUGAUUCCAAUUUUA